Molecule: ribosomal RNA, 416 nt
Filed under: uncultured bacterium
Lineage: Bacteria
Description: bacterial LSU rRNA
Rfam family: Bacterial large subunit ribosomal RNA
Source: RNAcentral
UUGUCUGACCUCCUCGCCCAGUGCUUAGAAAGUAAAAUGAAUUAUUUUUAAAGGUAUUUGUAUAAGCUCAAGUAAACGGCGGCUGUAACCUUGACGGUCUUAAGGUAGCGAAAUCCCUAGUCAAUUAAUUGUUGACGUGCAUGAAUGGAGUAACGACUGUUUUACUGUCUCGGGCUUUUGUACUGUGAAUUCAUAAUUGUCGUGAAGAUACGACAUUCCUAUAGUGGGACGGAAAGACCCUAUGCAGCUUUACUAUAAUUUUAGAGUGUUUGAAAUUCUUUAAGUAUGUAGGAUAGGUAUAAGCUUAUAAUUUCUUAACGCAAGUUAAUUGAUUAGGCAAUCUUGAAAUAGUACCUCUUUAAAAAUUUUAAACUAAUUUUAUAAAGACAUUUUAUGAUUGGUAGUUUCACUGGGGC